RNAcentral lists this non-coding RNA (30 nucleotides) under Homo sapiens (human). Lineage: Eukaryota; Metazoa; Chordata; Mammalia; Primates; Hominidae. The record is from RNAcentral.
UUGCAGAUUGGACUCCCGUGCGAAGACUGU